GGGAGUGUGGGCCGCCUGUAUAUAAAGCCUGGUAGACGGACGUCAACACAGAACACUGGCACGCGACGACGCUACAACAUCUUCUGUACUAACACGCUCAUCAAACGACCAUGAACCCUAUACGAGUUGACCGAGGUAGCUGCAGUGUCACCACAAGAACAAUUCGGAGCGUCUACAAAAUUUACCUGUUGCUGGAGAACUCGAUCGCAACAAUUCCUUUCCUACUCCAGUUCUACCGCGGUUAGUGGAUCCUUCCCACAGCAUUACAGUGAGUUUCCUAGUGUUAAACUACAAGAAAUUGGUCUCCAAAAAAACUGCUUUCCAGUAUCUUUGUUAUUUCUUCUACCCCAUUUGUGGGUCAUGAGCUGUAUUGCAUUACAUUCUGUGCAAGUAAAGUCAAACUUGUACAUAUUGAAUAUCCAGUAUAUGUAACCAAUAAAGUUUUUCUAUUUAUGGAAUAAUCCAAA
Molecule: long non-coding RNA, 467 nt
Filed under: Homarus americanus (American lobster)
Lineage: Eukaryota; Metazoa; Arthropoda; Malacostraca; Decapoda; Nephropidae
Description: uncharacterized LOC121864544
Source: RNAcentral